UCCUCUGUAGUUCAGUCGGUAGAACGGCGGACUGUUAAUCCGUAUGUCACUGGUUCGAGUCCAGUCAGAUGGA
This 73-nucleotide transfer RNA is filed under the name Klebsiella sp. RNAcentral describes it as "tRNA-Asn". It matches the Rfam family "tRNA". Rfam says of the family: Transfer RNA (tRNA) molecules are approximately 80 nucleotides in length. Their secondary structure includes four short double-helical elements and three loops (D, anti-codon, and T loops). Lineage: Bacteria; Pseudomonadati; Pseudomonadota; Gammaproteobacteria; Enterobacterales; Enterobacteriaceae. The record is from RNAcentral.